Molecule: ribosomal RNA, 700 nt
Filed under: uncultured Bacteroidales bacterium
Lineage: Bacteria; Pseudomonadati; Bacteroidota; Bacteroidia; Bacteroidales
Description: bacterial SSU rRNA
Rfam family: Bacterial small subunit ribosomal RNA
Source: RNAcentral
GCUACAGGCUUAACACAUGCAAGUCGAGGGGCAGCAUGGUCUUAGCUUGCUAAGGCCGAUGGCGACCGGCGCACGGGUGAGUAACGCGUAUCCAACCUGCCUUACACUCUUGGAUAGCCUUCUGAAAGGGAGAUUAAUACAAGAUGUUAUCAUGAGUAAGCAUUUUCACAUGAUUAAAGGUUUACCGGUGUAAGAUGGGGAUGCGUUCCAUUAGAUAGUAGGCGGGGUAACGGCCCACCUAGUCUUCGAUGGAUAGGGGUUCUGAGAGGAAGGUCCCCCACAUUGGAACUGAGACACGGUCCAAACUCCUACGGGAGGCAGCAGUGAGGAAUAUUGGUCAAUGGACGAGAGUCUGAACCAGCCAAGUAGCGUGAAGGAUGAAGGUUCUAUGGAUUGUAAACUUCUUUUAUACGGGAAUAAACGAAUCCACGUGUGGAUUUUUGCAUGUACCGUAUGAAUAAGGAUCGGCUAACUCCGUGCCAGCAGCCGCGGUAAUACGGAGGAUCCGAGCGUUAUCCGGAUUUAUUGGGUUUAAAGGGAGCGUAGAUGGGUUGUUAAGUCAGUUGUGAAAGUUUGCGGCUCAACCGUAAAAUUGCAAUUGAUACUGGCAGUCUUGAGUACAGUUGAGGUAGGCGGAAUUCGUGGUGUAGCGGUGAAAUGCUUAGAUAUCACGAAGAACUCCGAUUGCGAAGGCAGCUUA